Molecule: non-coding RNA, 506 nt
Organism: Macaca mulatta (Rhesus monkey)
Lineage: Eukaryota; Metazoa; Chordata; Mammalia; Primates; Cercopithecidae
Source: RefSeq, a predicted model, not a curated record
UGGGCUUUCACACUGGGCCAGGAAUGUUUGACGUAUAUCUGUGUUGAAAGCACUGGAUGCUUGUUUGGUGGAAGACGUGUGCACUGAGUUGAAUUUCCUGCCAUCCGCAGCAAAACCUGUGAAUGCUUCUUCAAAGCAUUGAGGAGGCAGAGACAAGCCUUAAACCAGCUUCCUUCUGCUCUUACCAGGUAGCCUGGUUCAGUCCCAGCUGGGUCCUGAAGGAGCACAGUACUAGAGUCUGAGUCAUGUUGAUGAAUAAAGUGCAUUAAGUUUGGGUCAGGCAAAAUGGUGGCAAAAGUUCAUGAUGCAGGACAGAGGAAACAAGUGGACAAGACAAGUGGAGCCCAACUCUGUUCCAAAGGGAGGCCAGGCGAUGCUGUCAUGGGCAUGGUCGGCCGAGUUCUCAUAGCUAGAGAAAGGCCGUGUAGGUAUUAGAGCUUAACGUGUCAUCUGUUCGAAAGACCAGCUAUUUUAUAAUCUUUCCGAUUAAAUUUCUGAAAUUGCUA